GUGAGAAUCCUCUCGGCCGAAUAUCCAAGGUUUCCAGAGUAAAGCUGAUCUGCUCUGGGUAAGUCGGGACCUAAGGAGAGGUCGAAAGACGUAUCCGAUGGACAACAGGUUUAGAUUCCUGUACCACAUAUGAACAGAACUGUGGGGACGCAUGUGGAGAGCACGAGCCGGGAAUGGAAAUACCGGUACAAGCGGAGAAGGAGUCUGGUUGGCAAAUCCGCCAGGCAAUCCGAAGACGUGAUGUGGAGCGAAUUAGAGUAGCGAAGCGUGUGAGCCAUGUGCCGAGAAAAGCCGCUAUUGUUUCAUGUGUGCCCGUACCGUAAACCGACACAGGUGGAAGAGGAGAGAAUCCUAAGGCCGGCGGAAGAAGCAUUGUUAAGGAACUCGGCAAAAUGACCCCGUAACUUCGGGAGAAGGGGUGCCUGCUAACGCAGGCCGCAGAGAAUAGGCUCAAGCAACUGUUUAGCAAAAACACAGGUCUAUGCGAAACCGAAAGGUGAAGUAUAUGGGCUGACGCCUGCCCGGUGCUGGAAGGUUAAGAGGAGAGGUUAGCGCAAGCGAAGCUUUGAAUUUAAGCCCCAGUAAACGGCGGCCGUAACUAUAACGGUCCUAAGGUAGCGAAAUUCCUUGUCGGGUAAGUUCCGACCCGCACGAAAGGCGUAAUGAUUUGAGCACUGUCUCGACAAUGCAUCCGGUGAAAUUGAAGUACCAGUGAAGAUGCUGGUUACCCGCGCCAGGACGGAAAGACCCCAUGGAGCUUUACUCCAGUUUGGUACUGGGAUUCGGUACUGCAUGUACAGGAUAGGUGGGAGACUAAGAACUUGGGACGCCAGUUUCAAGGGAGUCGCUGUUGGGAUACCACCCGUGCAGUAUUGGAUUUCUAACCAGCCGCCGUGAUCCGGCGGUGGGACAAUGCCAGGCGGGGAGUUUGACUGGGGCGGUCGCCUCCGAAAGGGUAUCGGAGGCGCUCAAAGGUUCCCUCAGAAUGGUUGGAAACCAUUUGAAGAGUGCAAAGGCAGAAGGGAGCUUGACUGCGACACCGACGGGUGGAGCAGGUAGGAAACUAGGACUUAGUGAUCCGGUGGCAUAAAGUGGGAUUGCCAUCGCUCAACGGAUAAAAGCUACCCCUGGGAUAACAGGCUUAUCACUCCCAAGAGUUCACAUCGACGGAGUGGUUUGGCACCUCGAUGUCGGCUCAUCGCAUCCUGGGGCUGUAGCAGGUCCCAAGGGUUGGGCUGUUCGCCCAUUAAAGCGGUACGCGAGCUGGGUUCAGAACGUCGUGAGACAGUUCGGUCCCUAUCCGGCGCGGGCGGAGGAUAUUUGAGAGGAGCUGUCCUUAGUACGAGAGGACCGGGAUGGACGGACCACUGGUGUAUCUGCUGUCGACCAACGGCAUGGCAGAGUAGCCAAGUCCGGAAGGGAUAAACGCUGAAGGCAUCUAAGCGUGAAGCCCCCCUCAAGAUGAGAUAUCCCUCACAUAAGUGAGUAAGAUCCCUUGAAGACUACAAGGUAGAUAGGGCAGAGGUGGAAGCACGGUAACGUGUGGAGCUGACUGUUACUAAUCGAUCGAGGGCUUGACC
This 1580-nucleotide ribosomal RNA is filed under the name metagenome. Its description in RNAcentral is "bacterial LSU rRNA". It matches the Rfam family "Bacterial large subunit ribosomal RNA", at positions 1321 to 2925 of the family's 2925-position model. The record is from RNAcentral.